RNAcentral lists this ribosomal RNA (253 nucleotides) under uncultured bacterium. RNAcentral describes it as "partial 16S ribosomal RNA". It matches the Rfam family "Bacterial small subunit ribosomal RNA", at positions 524 to 776 of the family's 1533-position model. The record is from RNAcentral.
UACGUAGGGGCAAGGCGUUGUCCGGAAUCAUUGGCGUAAGCGCGUGUAGGCGGUCCGGUAAGUCCGCUGUGAAAGUCGGGGCUUAACCCUCGGAUGCCGGUGGAUACUGUCGGGCUUGAGUACGGAAGAGGCGAGUGGAAUUCCUGGUGUAGCGGUGAAAUGCGCAGGAUAUCAAGGAGGAACACCAAUUGCGAAGGCAGCUCGCUGGGACGUUAACUGACGCCUGAGACGCGAAGCGUGGGGAGCAAACAGG